RNAcentral lists this ribosomal RNA (371 nucleotides) under uncultured organism. RNAcentral's name for it is "bacterial SSU rRNA". It matches the Rfam family "Bacterial small subunit ribosomal RNA", at positions 526 to 896 of the family's 1533-position model. The record is from RNAcentral.
CGAACCGUGCGAACGUUGUUCGGAAUCACUGGGCUUAAAGGGCGCGUAGGCGGGCUGUCCAGUCUGGGGUGAAAUCCCGCGGCUCAACCGUGGAACUGCCUCAGAUACUGACGGCCUCGAGGGAGAUAGGGGCAUGCGGAACUGUAGGUGGAGCGGUGAAAUGCGUUGAUAUCUACAGGAACUCCGGUGGCGAAGGCGGCGUGCUGGAUCUCUUCUGACGCUGAGGCGCGAAAGCUAGGGGAGCAAACGGGAUUAGAUACCCCCGGUAGUCCUAGCCCUAAACGAUGGGUACUAGAUAGUAGGCUAGAUAUGGGCUUACUGUCGAAGCUAAAGUGCUAAGUACCCGCCUGGGGAGUAUGGUCGCAAGGCUG